This is a long non-coding RNA of Lemur catta (Ring-tailed lemur), 619 nucleotides long. RefSeq lists it as uncharacterized. Lineage: Eukaryota; Metazoa; Chordata; Mammalia; Primates; Lemuridae. The record is from RefSeq and is a predicted model, not a curated record. The transcript is spliced from 2 exons.
AGCCCGGCCUUUGCACCUGCGGAAAUGUGGUCGCCGCUGCUGGCCAACUGGGUGGCUUGGGGCUGACGCUUCACCGCUAGUGAGAAAUACCUCACUAGUGAGACGGUUAUAAAAAUUAAGAGAGAGAUUUCCAGAGAGAGAGAGAGAGUUUGCAGAUCUCGGAGGUAGGCAAGAAUUUCAGCUUGCAGCAUUUGAAGAAAUAAGAUGUUCAUGCAUAGAUUCAGAAUAAAGGUAGGAAGUUGAGCUUCGCCUGAGGAAAACAGCCACCAGAGGUGAGUGGUGGCUGUACAAAACGGGGCAAAACCAGAGGGAACUUCUCAACCCAGGGAUUCCAGCGCUGGGAGAGGAUGGCUGUUCCAGGGCCCUGAGGUAGAAAGUCCUCUGGUAAUGGAGUGACUUCUGGUGGUCACCAAGUCUGGGUAGGGAAGUGUCUUCCUCGUUUUUAAGCCUGAAGCUGGACGGUAGGAAAAAGGUUGGGAAGGGGACCCGGUAAUGCUCAGUAAUAACAUCCUGUCACUCCUGGCAGUUGCCCCAACCUGUGUUGGGGCAUCCCACAUAAAAAUGUAACUUGUUUUUUAAAAAGGAAAAAAUUCUAGGAAUCACUUCAAUCAAGUAUUGA